This 404-nucleotide ribosomal RNA is filed under the name uncultured bacterium. RNAcentral describes it as "bacterial SSU rRNA". It matches the Rfam family "Bacterial small subunit ribosomal RNA", at positions 355 to 775 of the family's 1533-position model. The record is from RNAcentral.
UAGGGAAUAUUGGUUAAUGUGCGAAAGCGCGAACCAGCAACGCCGCGUGUGCGAUGAAGGCCUUCGGGUCGUAAAGCACUUUUUGCAGGGAAGAGGAAGGACGGUACCUGCAGAAUAAGUCUCGGUUAACUACGUGCCAGCAGCCGCGGUAAAACGUAGGAGACGAGCGUUAUCCGGAUUUACUGGGCGUAAAGCGCGUGCAGGCGGCAUGGCAAGUUGGAUGUGAAAGCUCCCGGCUUAACUGGGAGAGGUCGUUCAAUACUGCCAGGCGUGAGAGUGGUAGAGGGAGGCGGAAUUCCGGGUGUAGUGGUGAAAUGCGUAGAUAUCCGGAGGAACACCAGUGGCGAAAGCGGCUUCCUGGCCCAUUUCUGACGCUCAGACGCGAAAGCUAGGGUAGCAAACGG